CUGGCUCAGGAUGAACGCUAGCUACAGGCUUAACACAUGCAAGUCGAGGGGCAGCAUUGGGAUAGCUUGCUAUUCAGAUGGCGACCGGCGCACGGGUGAGUAACGCGUAUCCAACCUUCCUGCCAGUAGGGAACAGCCCGGCGAAAGUCGGAUUAAUGCCCUAUGUUCUUCAAUGCGGACAUCUAAGUUGAAGGAAAGAUUCAUCGCUGGCAGAUGGGGAUGCGUCCGAUUAGCUUGCCGGCGGGGUAACGGCCCACCGGGGCGACGAUCGGUAGGGGUUCUGAGAGGAAGGUCCCCCACACUGGUACUGAGACACGGACCAGACUCCUACGGGAGGCAGCAGUGAGGAAUAUUGGUCAAUGGGCGUAAGCCUGAACCAGCCAAGUAGCGUGCAAGGAUGACGGCCCUACGGGUUGUAAACUGCUUUUAUGCGGGGAUAAAGUGCGGCACGUGUGCCGCUUUGCAGGUACCACAUGAAUAAGGACCGGCUAAUUCCGUGCCAGCAGCGGC
Molecule: ribosomal RNA, 510 nt
Filed under: uncultured bacterium
Lineage: Bacteria
Description: bacterial SSU rRNA
Rfam family: Bacterial small subunit ribosomal RNA
Source: RNAcentral